AUAUUUGUAUUCGUUGGGUAUUGUCUAAUACCUUAUUAGUUUUAUAAUUUAGUAUCAAAUGAUUGUUAAAUGGUUUAGGGGUGUUGGUGGCAUUGUUAAGCUCAUUUGACACUUGUUAGCAUGGUGAAUGUAUUAUGGGGUGUAUCAUAUAUUUACUUAAACAUUCUAAGGGAUUCAUAUGUUGAUAUGGUAGCUUGUGGCUAGGUAACAAGCCGGUCAAAUAGGAGGUGCCGAAACCGUAAGUUUGGUGUAUAUCUCGGUCGAUGCAAAGGUGAGUGUGUCUGAUAUGGUUCUUCCUAAUAAAAUGUUGCUGUGGUGGCAGCAGGUUGCGUAGAGUGGGUCCACUACCGGUCAUCGUGUUGAGAAGUGUUUGGGCUAGCGUCGAAUGAAGUGGAUAAUCGAGUUGGUUGUAGGUAGUGAACUAAAAAGUAGAUUUAUAUAAGUUAUAAAUAUGUUGUUGGUGGAUGUGUUGAAGUGUAGAAUUUUUAAAGUAUUGUAAAACUAUAUUGUGAUUUAGUUGUGCGAUGUCAUGGUUGGUUGGUCGAUACGUCGACUCAUUUUUAUGUUAAGGUGAUAAGUCUUCCGCUGGGUGUUUAUUCUGA
This is a long non-coding RNA of Rhododendron vialii, 602 nucleotides long. RefSeq lists it as uncharacterized. Lineage: Eukaryota; Viridiplantae; Streptophyta; Magnoliopsida; Ericales; Ericaceae. The record is from RefSeq and is a predicted model, not a curated record. The transcript is spliced from 2 exons.